This 235-nucleotide unclassified non-coding RNA is filed under the name Paraglomerales sp. RNAcentral describes it as "partial contains 5.8S ribosomal RNA and internal transcribed spacer 2". The stretch from base 1 to 65 matches the Rfam family "5.8S ribosomal RNA", at positions 84 to 154 of the family's 154-position model. The record is from RNAcentral. Lineage: Eukaryota; Fungi; Glomeromycota; Glomeromycetes; Paraglomerales.
GUGAAUCAUCGAAUUUUUGAACGCAAAUUGCGCCUUUUUCGGAAGGCAUGUCUGUUUGAGGGCACCGUUUAACAAAUAAUGUGCAGCGUUUUUUGUUGACCACGUUGAUGAGCUUUCCAAGAAUUUUAAUUUUUUGGUGGCGAAUAAGGAACAGCGUGAAAGUUUUUUUCAGUUCGAGUGUAGAAAAAUUUUUGUUGGGGUUGUGAAAAAACUUAAUCGCGCAAUGGGUGUGGCA